Dipodomys spectabilis (banner-tailed kangaroo rat) is the source of this 118-nucleotide long non-coding RNA. RefSeq lists it as uncharacterized. The record is from RefSeq and is a predicted model, not a curated record. Lineage: Eukaryota; Metazoa; Chordata; Mammalia; Rodentia; Heteromyidae. The transcript has 4 exons.
AUCGAAGUUGAUCUUCCGAUCAAAUACGUUCAUGGUUCCAGAGUCAGUGUGACACAGUCUCCUCUCUAUCUGAUCAAGGGUAAAGAAAAGGCGCCGCUUGAGCACAUCCGGGUGCUGG